ACUUAAAUAAUUUAAUAAAAAUACUGAUUUGUGGAGUCAGAAAUAUGAGUAAAUCAUUUUAAGUU
This 65-nucleotide transfer RNA is filed under the name Libythea myrrha (club beak). Its description in RNAcentral is "tRNA-His". The record is from RNAcentral. Lineage: Eukaryota; Metazoa; Arthropoda; Insecta; Lepidoptera; Nymphalidae.